AUUGAACGCUGGCGGCAUGCUUUACACAUGCAAGUCGAACGGUAACAGGUUAAGCUGACGAGUGGCGAACGGGUGAGUAAUGCAUCGGAACGUGCCCGGUCGUGGGGGAUAACGCAGCGAAAGCUGCGCUAAUACCGCAUACGCUAUAUGGAUGAAAGCGGGGGAUCGCAAGACCUCGCGCGACUGGAGCGGCCGAUAUCAGAUUAGCUAGUUGGUGGGGUAAAGGCUCACCAAGGCGACGAUCUGUAGCUGGUCUGAGAGGACGACCAGCCACACUGGAACGGAGUCACCGUCCAGACUCCUACGGGAGCAAGCAGUGUGGAAUUUUGGACAGUGGGCGCAAGCCUGAUCCGUCAAUGCCGCGUGCAGGAUGAAGGCCUUCGGGUUGUAAUCUGCUUUUGUACGGAACGAAACGGCGAGCUCUAAUACAGUUUGCUAAUGACGGUACCGUAAGAAUAAGCACCGGCUAACUACGUGCCAGCCGCCGCCGUAA
RNAcentral lists this ribosomal RNA (493 nucleotides) under uncultured bacterium. RNAcentral describes it as "partial 16S ribosomal RNA". It matches the Rfam family "Bacterial small subunit ribosomal RNA", at positions 30 to 523 of the family's 1533-position model. The record is from RNAcentral.